GCAGGCAACAGCCUCCUCAACUUUCUCCCAGAGCCACUCGUCAGCUCUGGAGAGGAUCCCUGCCGUCGAGAAUCUCAAGUGGAUUCAUCGGACUUCUGUAUUCAGUGGCAAGGGUGAUGCAACUCUCUUCUGGCUGCUGCAGGUUCUCCGGCACUCUCAUUGGUGGUUUGCCAACACCGCCAUGCCAGCACCAGGUGAAAACAGGCCUGGACAUGCUCAGAGACAACCUGUUUUACUGCAUUCAGAUGGUUGCCCUACCCAGGACAGGUGUUUGACUCCUCACUGAAGGAGUAACGCUAGAAUCCAAUCUGGAGCUAGUGACUUUGUUUCAACUGCUGGACCACCCCCCCGGAUGUUAUCUUGCUAUGCAACAGUUCAC
This is a long non-coding RNA of Alligator sinensis (Chinese alligator), 379 nucleotides long. RefSeq lists it as uncharacterized. The transcript has 3 exons. The record is from RefSeq and is a predicted model, not a curated record. Lineage: Eukaryota; Metazoa; Chordata; Crocodylia; Alligatoridae.